Molecule: ribosomal RNA, 309 nt
Filed under: uncultured bacterium
Lineage: Bacteria
Description: partial 16S ribosomal RNA
Rfam family: Bacterial small subunit ribosomal RNA
Source: RNAcentral
AGAGACAGCAGUAGCCGCGGUAAUACGUAGGUGGCAAGCGUUGUCCGGAAUUAUUGGGCGUAAAGGGCUCGCAGGCGGUUUCUUAAGUCUGAUGUGAAAGCCCCCGGCUCAACCGGGGAGGGUCAUUGGAAACUGGAAAACUUGAGUGCAGAAGAGGAGAGUGGAAUUCCACGUGUAGCGGUGAAUGCGUAGAGAUGUGGAGGAACACCAGUGGCGAAGGCGACUCUCUGGUCUGUAACUGACGCUGCGGAGCGAAAGCGUGGGGAGCGAACAGGAUUAGAGACCCGCGUAGUCCCUGUCUCUUAUACC